UACAGAGGGUGCGAGCGUUAAUCGGAAUUAUUGGGCGUAAAGCGCGUGUAGGCGGCUUUGCAAGUCGGGUGUGAAAGCCCUCGGCUCAACCGAGGAAGUGCGCCCGAAACUGCAGAGCUUGAGUACCGGAGAGGGUGGCGGAAUUCCCCAAGUAGAGGUGAAAUUCGUAGAUAUGGGGAGGAACACCGGUGGCGAAGGCGGCCACCUGGACGGAUACUGACGCUGAGACGCGAAAGCGUGGGGAGCAAACAGG
RNAcentral lists this ribosomal RNA (253 nucleotides) under uncultured bacterium. RNAcentral's name for it is "partial 16S ribosomal RNA". It matches the Rfam family "Bacterial small subunit ribosomal RNA", at positions 524 to 776 of the family's 1533-position model. The record is from RNAcentral.